ACCCUAGGCGCAUCCUAUUCUUCUUUUCAUCCUUGUUUCACAAAUAAAAUAAAAUAAAAUAAAAAUAACUCACUCUCUCCCCUUCUCUGUUGCUUCUGCCGUCCUUCGCCUCCUUGUCACCCACCAUUCAUCAUUCAUUGAUUAGUAGUUCUAAGGUAACGGUUAGGCUGAUGAACAACCUUCCCACUACUUCGAGGCACUCUCAACUUUUGAGAAGGAUGUGACUAACCAGAUUCCCUAGUUCUAUCAACUACUUUAGUGGAUGAACUAGGUUUAUCUAUAACGUCUUUGGAAAUUCUAAUACUAAUUUACUACUUGGUUUAAUGAUUUAUGGUGAGAUUUUCCUCUAAGAAUCUGGUAUUUGUCUAUACAAAUUCCUUAUUCCUUGAGGAUCAAGGAGCAAAGCUCAUUAUAGAGCAAAUAAUGUCCAACAA
Long non-coding RNA from Cucumis melo (muskmelon), 434 nucleotides. RefSeq lists it as uncharacterized. Lineage: Eukaryota; Viridiplantae; Streptophyta; Magnoliopsida; Cucurbitales; Cucurbitaceae. The record is from RefSeq and is a predicted model, not a curated record. The transcript is spliced from 2 exons.